This 620-nucleotide ribosomal RNA is filed under the name uncultured bacterium. Its description in RNAcentral is "bacterial SSU rRNA". It matches the Rfam family "Bacterial small subunit ribosomal RNA", at positions 338 to 953 of the family's 1533-position model. The record is from RNAcentral.
CCUACGGGAGGCAGCAGUGGGGAAUUUUGGACAAUGGGCGCAAGCCUGAUCCAGCAAUGCCGCGUGAGUGAAGAAGGCCUUCGGGUUGUAAAGCUCUUUUGUCAGGGAAGAAACGGUCUACUCUAAUACAGUGGGCUAAUGACGGUACCUGAAGAAUAAGCACCGGCUAACUACGUGCCAGCAGCCGCGGUAAUACGUAGGGUGCAAGCGUUAAUCGGAAUUACUGGGCGUAAAGCGUGCGCAGGCGGUUAUAUAAGUCAGAUGUGAAAUCCCCGGGCUCAACCUGGGAACUGCAUUUGAGACUGUAUGGCUAGAGUGUGUCAGAGGGGGGUAGAAUUCCACGUGUAGCAGUGAAAUGCGUAGAUAUGUGGAGGAAUACCGAUGGCGAAGGCAGCCCCCUGGGAUAACACUGACGCUCAUGCACGAAAGCGUGGGGAGCAAACAGGAUUAGAUACCCUGGUAGUCCACGCCCUAAACGAUGUCUACUAGUUGUCGGGACUUAAUUGUCUUGGUAACGCAGCUAACGCGUGAAGUAGACCGCCUGGGGAAGUACGGUGCAAGAUUAAAACGUUAAGNGUUAGUUGAGNGAGAGNGNGACGAGGCACACGGAGGGUUAGAGG